GGUUAAGCGACUAAGCGUACACGGUGGAUGCCCUGGCAGUCAGAGGCGAUGAAGGACGUGCUAAUCUGCGAUAAGCGUCGGUGAGGUGAUAUGAACCGUUAUAACCGGCGAUUUCCGAAUGGGGAAACCCAGUGUGUUUCGACACACUAUCAUUAACUGAAUCCAUAGGUUAAUGAGGCGAACCGGGGGAACUGAAACAUCUAAGUACCCCGAGGAAAAGAAAUCAACCGAGAUUCCCCCAGUAGCGGCGAGCGAACGGGGAGGAGCCCAGAGCCUGAAUCAGUGUGUGUGUUAGUGGAAGCGUCUGGAAAGGCGCGCGAUACAGGGUGACAGCCCCGUACACAAAAAUGCACAUGCUGUGAGCUCGAUGAGUAGGGCGGGACACGUGGUAUCCUGUCUGAAUAUGGGGGGACCAUCCUCCAAGGCUAAAUACUCCUGACUGACCGAUAGUGAACCAGUACCGUGAGGGAAAGGCGAAAAGAACCCCGGCGAGGGGAGUGAAAAAGAACCUGAAACCGUGUACGUACAAGCAGUGGGAGCCUCUUAAUGGGGUGACUGCGUACCUUUUGUAUAAUGGGUCAGCGACUUAUAUUCUGUAGCAAGGUUAACCGAAUAGGGGAGCCGAAGGGAAACCGAGUCUUAACUGGGCGUUAAGUUGCAGGGUAUAGACCCGAAACCCGGUGAUCUAGCCAUGGGCAGGUUGAAGGUUGGGUAACACUAACUGGAGGACCGAACCGACUAAUGUUGAAAAAUUAGCGGAUGACUUGUGGCUGGGGGUGAAAGGCCAAUCAAACCGGGAGAUAGCUGGUUCUCCCCGAAAGCUAUUUAGGUAGCGCCUCGUGAAUUCAUCUCCGGGGGUAGAGCACUGUUUCGGCAAGGGGGUCAUCCCGACUUACCAACCCGAUGCAAACUGCGAAUACCGGAGAAUGUUAUCACGGGAGACACACGGCGGGUGCUAACGUCCGUCGUGAAGAGGGAAACAACCCAGACCGCCAGCUAAGGUCCCAAAGUCAUGGUUAAGUGGGAAACGAUGUGGGAAGGCCCAGACAGCCAGGAUGUUGGCUUAGAAGCAGCCAUCAUUUAAAGAAAGCGUAAUAGCUCACUGGUCGAGUCGGCCUGCGCGGAAGAUGUAACGGGGCUAAACCAUGCACCGAAGCUGCGGCAGCGACACUAUGUGUUGUUGGGUAGGGGAGCGUUCUGUAAGCCUGUGAAGGUGGCCUGUGAGGGUUGCUGGAGGUAUCAGAAGUGCGAAUGCUGACAUAAGUAACGAUAAAGCGGGUGAAAAGCCCGCUCGCCGGAAGACCAAGGGUUCCUGUCCAACGUUAAUCGGGGCAGGGUGAGUCGACCCCUAAGGCGAGGCCGAAAGGCGUAGUCGAUGGGAAACAGGUUAAUAUUCCUGUACUUGGUGUUACUGCGAAGGGGGGACGGAGAAGGCUAUGUUGGCCGGGCGACGGUUGUCCCGGUUUAAGCGUGUAGGCUGGUUUUCCAGGCAAAUCCGGAAAACCAAGGCUGAGGCGUGAUGACGAGGCACUACGGUGCUGAAGCGACAAAUGCCCUGCUUCCAGGAAAAGCCUCUAAGCAUCAGGUAACAUCAAAUCGUACCCCAAACCGACACAGGUGGUCAGGUAGAGAAUACCAAGGCGCUUGAGAGAACUCGGGUGAAGGAACUAGGCAAAAUGGUGCCGUAACUUCGGGAGAAGGCACGCUGAUAUGUAGGUGAAGCGACUUGCUCGUGGAGCUGAAAUCAGUCGAAGAUACCAGCUGGCUGCAACUGUUUAUUAAAAACACAGCACUGUGCAAACACGAAAGUGGACGUAUACGGUGUGACGCCUGCCCGGUGCCGGAAGGUUAAUUGAUGGGGUUAGCGGUAACGCGAAGCUCUUGAUCGAAGCCCCGGUAAACGGCGGCCGUAACUAUAACGGUCCUAAGGUAGCGAAAUUCCUUGUCGGGUAAGUUCCGACCUGCACGAAUGGCGUAAUGAUGGCCAGGCUGUCUCCACCCGAGACUCAGUGAAAUUGAACUCGCUGUGAAGAUGCAGUGUACCCGCGGCAAGACGGAAAGACCCCGUGAACCUUUACUAUAGCUUGACACUGAACAUUGAGCCUUGAUGUGUAGGAUAGGUGGGAGGCUUUGAAGUGUGGACGCCAGUCUGCAUGGAGCCGACCUUGAAAUACCACCCUUUAAUGUUUGAUGUUCUAACGUGGGCCCCUAAUCGGGGUUGCGGACAGUGUCUGGUGGGUAGUUUGACUGGGGCGGUCUCCUCCUAAAGAGUAACGGAGGAGCACGAAGGUUGGCUAAUCCUGGUCGGACAUCAGGAGGUUAGUGCAAUGGCAUAAGCCAGCUUGACUGCGAGCGUGACGGCGCGAGCAGGUGCGAAAGCAGGUCAUAGUGAUCCGGUGGUUCUGAAUGGAAGGGCCAUCGCUCAACGGAUAAAAGGUACUCCGGGGAUAACAGGCUGAUACCGCCCAAGAGUUCAUAUCGACGGCGGUGUUUGGCACCUCGAUGUCGGCUCAUCACAUCCUGGGGCUGAAGUAGGUCCCAAGGGUAUGGCUGUUCGCCAUUUAAAGUGGUACGCGAGCUGGGUUUAGAACGUCGUGAGACAGUUCGGUCCCUAUCUGCCGUGGGCGCUGGAGAACUGAGGGGGGCUGCUCCUAGUACGAGAGGACCGGAGUGGACGCAUCACUGGUGUUCGGGUUGUCAUGCCAAUGGCACUGCCCGGUAGCUAAAUGCGGAAGAGAUAAGUGCUGAAAGCAUCUAAGCACGAAACUUGCCCCGAGAUGAGUUCUCCCUGACCCUUUAAGGGUCCUGAAGGAACGUUGAAGACGACGACGUUGAUAGGCCGGGUGUGUAAGCGCAGCGAUGCGUUGAGCUAACCGGUACUAAUGAACCGUGAGGCUUAACCUUACAACGCCGAAGAUGUUUUG
This 2924-nucleotide ribosomal RNA is filed under the name Escherichia coli WV_060327. RNAcentral describes it as "LSU rRNA". It matches the Rfam family "Bacterial large subunit ribosomal RNA". The record is from RNAcentral. Lineage: Bacteria; Pseudomonadati; Pseudomonadota; Gammaproteobacteria; Enterobacterales; Enterobacteriaceae.